UAUCAGAAAUUUUGCCUUUUUGCUCUGUAUGCUAAUGUCUGUCUCCAUCUUCAGAUUCACAUGUUACCAGAUUCCAUGCUUAACCUGCCCUGAUUGCUAGUCUGCCCAUUUUGCUUUACACCACAUGGUCUCCAAACAAUUCCAACUCCACUCUUCAGCCAGCCAGACUUGCCAGCUCACUCCAACCACCCCUCUCUGGAUAUUCCCACCCUGAGACUCAAAACCAUCCAUAUUCUGUGUUAAAGUGUUAAAACAUAACUGCCUGUCUCCAGUCUGUUUUUGGGUUCUAGCCACCAAUCCUGACUCCAUUAUAGUUCCUGACCAUAAAUCCUCUGCGGCUCUGCUACCAGUAUACCAGUCUACAUGUUUUUGAUUGAUCAUAUGCGCCAACAUCGUGUGACUGCUUAGCAUUAUUGCAAUGCAAUUGUUAAGGUAAAUGAAGCCAGAUGGCAGAAAGAGAUCCUGUGAAUGUUAACUUGCUUUGUAGUAGUGGGAAUGCAGCUAGAGGAGACACAGUGCCAGACUGUGAGUCCGCUGAUUUGGCUUUUAUUGCUGUGAUUGAAUUGAUGAUUUGGACAUUUUAAAGGGGAAGAAAGGCACAAAGGAAGCAUUUCAGUAGUUCCUGCUCUAACUGACAGAAAGUCUGGUUAUUGUUGUGUGGAGAGUGCACAGGAGGUUACUCAGGAGGUGACUCACUGACCUAUCCUCCUUCAGAAGCUUUGAUGCGAGAGGCUUCAUACAGCCCUGCUGUGCCAGUGGACCAGCCAUCUACCAUGCUUGAGACAAGAAACUCUGCUCAUUUGCCUGCCAGCCAUACUUCUGAUAUUCUAUGUCUUCAGACAACCAAACCAGCUCAAUCUGCCACCUAUUCCCCUUGAUCUCUCUCUCCCAAAUUUGAGCCCCACUCUGUCAGCCAAACCUGCCAGCUCUCCCCGACUCCAGAAACUCUGGAUUUAAACCCAAAAACCCCAGCCCCAC
Micropterus dolomieu (smallmouth bass) is the source of this 978-nucleotide long non-coding RNA. RefSeq lists it as uncharacterized. The record is from RefSeq and is a predicted model, not a curated record. The transcript is spliced from 3 exons. Lineage: Eukaryota; Metazoa; Chordata; Actinopteri; Centrarchiformes; Centrarchidae.